GCGGGCUGGACCUCUCGGGGUUACAGCCUUGCUGAAUUAUUCACCCUUGUCUUUUGCGUACUUCUUGUUUCCUUGGUGGGUUCGCCCACCACUAGGACAAACAUAAACCUUUUGUAAUUGCAAUCAGCGUCAGUAACAAAU
Molecule: unclassified non-coding RNA, 141 nt
Filed under: Alternaria alternata
Lineage: Eukaryota; Fungi; Ascomycota; Dothideomycetes; Pleosporales; Pleosporaceae
Description: ITS1
Source: RNAcentral